CCUGGGCGGUGGGGUCCCUCCGCCUGGCCUGCUAGGAUCCUCAGAAACCGGCAGUCCAACAUCCCCCAGGGUUCCCAGAUUGUGAGAGGUCGCAGGCCAGGCGGAGGGACCCCACCAGUGCACA
This 124-nucleotide microRNA precursor is filed under the name Myotis lucifugus (little brown bat). Its description in RNAcentral is "mir-9193 microRNA precursor family". Lineage: Eukaryota; Metazoa; Chordata; Mammalia; Chiroptera; Vespertilionidae. The record is from Rfam by way of RNAcentral.